RNAcentral lists this ribosomal RNA (476 nucleotides) under uncultured bacterium. RNAcentral's name for it is "bacterial SSU rRNA". It matches the Rfam family "Bacterial small subunit ribosomal RNA", at positions 15 to 518 of the family's 1533-position model. The record is from RNAcentral.
GAUCAUGGCUCAGGAUGAACGCUGGCGGCGUGCCUAACACAUGCAAGUCGAGCGAUUACUUCGGUAAAGAGCGGCGGACGGGUGAGUAACGCGUGGGUAACCUGCCUCAUACACAUGGAUAACAUACCGAAAGGUAUGCUAAUACAGGAUAAUAUAAGAGAUUCACAUGGAUUUCUUAUCAAAGCUCCGGCGGUAUGAGAUGGACCCGCGUCUGAUUAGCUAGUUGGUAAGGUAAUGGCUUACCAAGGCGACGAUCAGUAGCCGACCUGAGAGGGUGAUCGGCCACAUUGGAACUGAGACACGGUCCAAACUCCUACGGGAGGCAGCAGUGGGGAAUAUUGUACAAUGGGCGAAAGCCUGAUUGCAGCAACGCCGCGUGAGUGAUGAAGGCCUUCGGGUCGUAAAACUCUGUCCUCAAGGAAGAUAAUGACGGUACUUGAGGAGGAAGCCCCGGCUAACUACGUGCCAGCCGCCGC